RNAcentral lists this ribosomal RNA (440 nucleotides) under uncultured bacterium. RNAcentral's name for it is "partial 16S ribosomal RNA". It matches the Rfam family "Bacterial small subunit ribosomal RNA", at positions 338 to 795 of the family's 1533-position model. The record is from RNAcentral.
CCUACGGGUGGCAGCAGUGGGGAAUAUUGCACAAUGCGGGAAACCCUGAUGCAGCGACGCCGCGUGAGUGACGAAGUAUUUCGGUCUGUCAAGCUCUGUCAGCAGGGAAGAAAAUGACGGUACCUGACCAAGAAGCCCCGGCUAACUACGUGCCAGCAGCCGCGGUAAUACGUAGGGGGCAAGCGUUAUCCGGAUUUACUGGGUGUAACGGGAGCGUAGACGGCAGGGCAAGUCUGUAGUGAAAGGCGGGGGCUCAACCCCAGGACUGCUCUGGAAACUGGCAGGCUGGAGUGCAGGAGAGGUAAGUGGAAGUCCUGGUGUAGCGGUGAAAUGCGUAGAUAGUAGGAGGAACACCAGUGGCGAAGGCGGCUUACUGGACUGUAACUGACGUUGAGGCUCGAAAGCGUGGGGAGCAAACAGGAUUAGAUACCCUUGUAGUC